Molecule: ribosomal RNA, 565 nt
Filed under: Moniliella suaveolens var. nigra
Lineage: Eukaryota; Fungi; Basidiomycota; Moniliellomycetes; Moniliellales; Moniliellaceae
Description: LSU rRNA
Rfam family: Eukaryotic large subunit ribosomal RNA
Source: RNAcentral
AACAAACAUGGAUUCCCCUAGUAGCGGCGAGCGAAGCGGGAUGAGCCCAGAUUUGAAAGCUCCCUUGCGGGCGCAUUGUAAGCUGGAGACGUGCCUCGUGCGGUGCGGCUGGACGCCAAGUCUGCUGGAAAGCAGCAUCAGAGAGGGUGAGAAUCCCGUGCUUGGUCUGGCCUGGUGCCGUGUUGUGGGGUGCGCUCGACGAGUCGCGUUGUUUGGGAAUGCAGCGCAAAGAGGGGUGGUAAAGGCCAUCCAAGGCUAAAUAUGGGGGAGAGACCGAUAGCGAACAAGUACCGUGAGGGAAAGAUGAAAAGCACUUUGGAAAGAGAGUUAAAGAGUACGUGAAAUUGCCAAAAGGGAAGCGUUGGAAGUCAGUGCCGGAGCGGCGCCUCGUCUGCCCCCUCUCGGGGGGUGUACUGUGGCGGCGUGGGGCCCAUGUCGGUUGCGUGUGGGGGAGAAGGCGGCGCGGAAGGUGGCUUUCCCUCUGGGGGGAGUGUUAUAGCCGCGCUGUGGAUGCCCCGCAUGCGACCGAGGACUGNUGUUGAGUGGACAUGGGCUUAAUGGCUUU